Molecule: ribosomal RNA, 276 nt
Filed under: uncultured prokaryote
Description: partial 16S ribosomal RNA
Rfam family: Bacterial small subunit ribosomal RNA
Source: RNAcentral
UACAGUGGUGGCAAGCGUUGUUCGGAUUUACUGGGCGUAAAGCGUGCGUAGGCGGCCUGCGCGUGUCGGACGUGAAAUCCCGGGGCUCACCCCCGGAAGUGCGUCCGAAACUGCGUGGCUAGGGUCCGGGAGGGGAGAUCGGAAUGCAGGGUGUAGCGGUGAAAUGCGUUGAUAUCCUGCAGAACACCGGUGGCGAAGGCGGAUCUCUGGAACGGAACCGACGCUGAGGCACGAAAGCGUGGGGAGCAAACAGGAUUAGAUACCCUGGUAGUCCCU